CGGACGGGUGAGUAAUGUCUGGGAAACUGCCUGAUGGAGGGGGAUAACUACUGGAAACGGUAGCUAAUACCGCAUAAUGUCGCAAGACCAAAGAGGGGGACCUUCGGGCCUCUUGCCAUCGGAUGUGCCCAGAUGGGAUUAGCUUGUUGGUGGGGUAACGGCUCACCAAGGCGACGAUCCCUAGCUGGUCUGAGAGGAUGACCAGCCACACUGGAACUGA
This 220-nucleotide ribosomal RNA is filed under the name Escherichia coli. RNAcentral describes it as "partial 16S ribosomal RNA". It matches the Rfam family "Bacterial small subunit ribosomal RNA", at positions 99 to 322 of the family's 1533-position model. Lineage: Bacteria; Pseudomonadati; Pseudomonadota; Gammaproteobacteria; Enterobacterales; Enterobacteriaceae. The record is from RNAcentral.